UACGGAGGGUGCAAGCGUUAUCCGGAUUCACUGGGGUUAAAGGGUGCGUAGGUGGGUCUGUAAGUCAGUGGUGAAAUCUCCGGGCUUAACCCGGAAACUGCCAUUGAUACUAUAGGUCUUGAAUUUUCUGGAGGUCAGCGGAAUAUGUCAUGUAGCGGUGAAAUGCUUAGAUAUGACAUAGAACACCGAUUGCGAAGGCAGCUGACUACAGGAACAUUGACACUGAGGCACGAAAGCGUGGGGAUCAAACAGG
RNAcentral lists this ribosomal RNA (253 nucleotides) under uncultured bacterium. RNAcentral's name for it is "partial 16S ribosomal RNA". It matches the Rfam family "Bacterial small subunit ribosomal RNA", at positions 524 to 776 of the family's 1533-position model. The record is from RNAcentral.